This 30-nucleotide non-coding RNA is filed under the name Rattus norvegicus (Norway rat). Lineage: Eukaryota; Metazoa; Chordata; Mammalia; Rodentia; Muridae. The record is from RNAcentral.
UGAAACAGCAGUUCAGAUCUGCUAACAAGA